This is a long non-coding RNA of Eptesicus fuscus (big brown bat), 1039 nucleotides long. RefSeq lists it as uncharacterized. The record is from RefSeq and is a predicted model, not a curated record. NCBI's taxonomy places the organism in Eukaryota, Metazoa, Chordata, Mammalia, Chiroptera, Vespertilionidae. The transcript is spliced from 5 exons.
AUACAUACACACGAGGGUCCUUGUGAGAGGAAGGCGGGAGGGUGAGUCAGAGAAGGAGCUGCGCCAGGAGGGAAGCAGAGGCCACGGUGAUGUGCUUUGAAGACGGAGGAUGGGGCCACAAGCCAAGGGACCCAGGAGGCCGCUAGAAGUGGGAAGGACCACGAGACAUUCUCUCCUGGCGCUCCCAGAAGGAACGGGACCCUGCUGACAUCCCGACUUUAGCCCCCUCAUUGGAACUCCGACCUCCAGAACCGGAAUACAUUUGUGCUGUUUUCAGUCACCAGACAAGUGGUGAUGGGUUACAGCGGCAACAGGGAACUGAUAGGGUGGCCGUGGAUGAGGAAACUGAGGCCCCGAGCAACAACGUGGGUUGCCCAAAGUCACACUGCAACCCAGCGGCUGAGCAAGAACCGGCUUACGGGACGGGCUCUUGCCUCUUGUCCGGGAGCCCUCGGGGUCCGGGUGGCCCCAGACGCCUUCCCGCAGCAGCGAGCCGUGUGGUUCUUCUGUCACGUCACCUAAUGGCGGGCAGUUCUGACUCCGGAGGUCAGGGCUCCUCCGAGCCCCGUUCCUUGCCUGGGAAAUUGGAGAAAGGCCGUUCCACCCUCCAGGGGCCACUGGGGCUGGCUGUGUGCCGGAACGUGAGAACCAUCCUGCGGUCACGCCCCAGAUUUGCAUCAGGGACCUACCACGUGCCGGGCCUUCCGAGCACCAUUGCUGGAACUAUGUAGACUGAGUCUCCCUCUUUCCUUUGGUGUGGCUGAGCCAGGGGGAUGGGAGACUAGAGCUUUGGGGACGUCUUGGUUAUGAUUUGGAAAGACCCAGUCUGAGAAUGAAGCCAAUGCAAAGGAAAGGAGAACAAACAUGCAAAACACAUUUCCAACCUCACCUUUCCAGUUAUACCCGAUGUCUUGGACUCUUCAACUAAAAGAGCCUCUAUGUUCCUUUCGUGGCUUCAGCAAUCGUGAGCCGAGUUCCUGUAACUUCAGGUUCUGAGUCCCAACUAACCUGGUCUUAUCUCAGCUCAACUGGAGCUGCC